ACAACCCGUCAUUCUGAAGGAAUGACAUCUUGCAUAGCAAGAGGCUAACGCAGGGAACUGAAACAUCUUAGUACCUGUAGGAAAAGAAAAUAAUAAUGAUUCCCCUAGUAGUGGCGAGCGAACGGGGAUUAGCCCAAACCAAUGUUGUUACGGCAAUAUUGGGGUUGUAGGACCACGAUGUCGCAAGAAAUUUAGUGAGAAGAACCCUUUGGAAAAUGGGACCAUAGACGGUGAUAGUCCGGUAUUCGAAGCUAAAUGAAGCGUAGUGGUAUCCUGAGUAGCGCGGGACACGAGGAAUCUUGCGUGAAUCUGCCGGGACCAUCCGGUAAGGCUAAAUACUCCCGAGAGACCGAUAGCGAACCAGUACUGUGAAGGAAAGGUGAAAAGCACUUCGAAUAGAAGAGUGAAAUAGUCCCUGAAACCGUGCGCCUACAAGCGGUCGGAGCUGCUUCAGCAGUGACGGCGUGCCUUUUGCAUAAUGAACCUACGAGUUACUUUUUCCGGCAAGGUUAAGGAUCUUGAGAUCCGCAGCCGAAGCGAAAGCGAGUCUUAACAGGGCGAUUAGUCGGAAGGAGUAGACGCGAAACCAAGUGAUCUACCCUUGGUCAGGUUGAAGGUUAGGUAACACUAACUGGAGGACCGAACCGAUAAGCGUUGAAAAGCUUCCGGAUGAACUGAGGGUGGGGGUGAAAGGCUAAUCAAACUUGGAGAUAGCUCGUACUCCCCGAAAUGCAUUUAGGUGCAGCCUUGGGAAUUACUACUGUGAGGUAGAGCGACUGAUAAGAUGCGAGGGCUUCACCGCCUAUCAAGUCUUGAUAAACUCCGAAUGCGCAGUAGUUCGAUCCCAGGAGUGAGGGCAUGGGUGCUAAGGUCCAUGUCCUAAAGGAGAAGAAUCCGGACCAUCAGCUAAGGUCCCGAAAUAAUUGCUAAGUUGAACUAACGAAGUCAGAUUGCUAAGACAGCUAGGAUGUUGGCUUGGAAGCAGCCAUUCAUUUAAAGAGUGCGUAACAGCUCACUAGUCGAGGAGUUUGGCGUGGAUAAUAAUCGGGCAUUAAGCAAUUUACCGAAGCUAUGGGAUCAGUAAUGAUCGGUAGGGGAGCAUUCCACUCUGCGUCGAAGGUGAAGCGUGAGCUUUGCUGGAGCGUGUGGAAAAGCAAAUGUAGGUAUAAGUAACGAUAAAGGGGGUGAGAAACCCCCUCGCCGAAAGACUAAGGUUUCCUGAUCAACGCUAAUCGGAUCAGGGUUAGUCGGGUCCUAAGGCUCAGCCGAACGGUGAGGCCGAUGGCAGAACAGGUUAAUAUUCCUGUACUACCUUAAGGAGUGACGUGGAGACGGAGGCGUGAUAGCGCCGCGGACUGACGGAAUAGUCCGUUGAAGGGUGUAGAUGUUGAUCUUUGCAGGCAAAUCCACAAAGAGAGUCGAACCUGAUAGUAUACCAAAUUCUUCGGAAUAAGGUAAUAGUGCGUGUAAGCAUACUCCCAAGAAAAUCCGCUAAACUUAAUCUUUAAGGUACCCGUACCGCAAACGGACACACGUAGUCGGGUUGAAUAUACUAAGGCGCUUGAGUGAUUCACGGUUAAGGAACUAGGCAAAUUGACCCUGUAACUUCGGGAUAAAGGGUCCCAACGAGAGUUGGGCGCAGAGAAUAGGUCCAGGCAACUGUUUAACAAAAACACAGGGCUGUGCUAAAUUGAAAGAUUACGUAUACAGCCUGACACCUGCCCGGUGCUGGAAGGUUAAGAGGAGAUGUCAUCGCAAGAGAAGCAUUGAAUUGAAGCCCCAGUAAACGGCGGCCGUAACUAUAACGGUCCUAAGGUAGCGAAAUUCCUUGUCGGGUAAGUUCCGACCUGCACGAAUGGUGUAAUGAUCUGGACACUGUCUCAACCGUGAGCUCAGUGAAAUUGUAGUAUCGGUGAAGAUGCCGAUUACCCGCGAUGGGACGAAAAGACCCCGUGAACCUUUACUAUAGCUUAACAUUGAAUUUGGGUAAUUGAUGUGUAGGAUAGGCCGGAGACUUCGAAGCAGGUACGCCAGUAUUUGUGGAGUCGCUGUUGAAAUACGGCCCUUUGAUUAUUUGAGUUCUAACUCGUAGAUGCGAGGACACUGUUUGGUGGGUAGUUUGACUGGGGUGGUCGCCUCCAAAAGUGUAACGGAGGCUUCUAAAGGUGCCCUCAGGACGAUUGGUAACCGUCCGUAGAGUGUAAUGGCAUAAGGGCGCUUGACUGGGAGACAGACAAGUCGAUCAGGUAGGAAACUAGAGCAUAGUGAUCCGGUGUUUCCGUAUGGAAGGGACAUCGCUCAAAGGAUAAAAGGUACUCCGGGGAUAACAGGCUGAUCCCUCCCAAGAGCUCAUAUCGACGGAGGGGUUUGGCACCUCGAUGUCGGCUCGUCACAUCCUGGGGCUGGAGAAGGUCCCAAGGGUUGGGCUGUUCGCCCAUUAAAGUGGCACGCGAGCUGGGUUCAGAACGUCGUGAGACAGUUCGGUCUCUAUCUAUCGUGGGCGUAUGAAAUUUGCGUGGCUCUGACACUAGUACGAGAGGACCGUGUUGGACUGACCGCUGGUUUACCAGUUGUGCCGCCAGGUGCAUUGCUGGGUAUCUAAGUCGGGAUUGGAUAAGUGCUGAAAGCAUCUAAGUACGAAGCCAGCCACAAGAUUAGAUUUCUUAGGGUCGUUAAAGACGAUGACGUUGAUAGGAUGCAGGUGUAAAGGUGGUAACAUCAAAGCCGAGCAUUACUAAUUGCCCGUUCACUUUCUUU
Molecule: ribosomal RNA, 2757 nt
Filed under: Bacteroides ovatus
Lineage: Bacteria; Pseudomonadati; Bacteroidota; Bacteroidia; Bacteroidales; Bacteroidaceae
Description: partial 23S ribosomal RNA
Rfam family: Bacterial large subunit ribosomal RNA
Source: RNAcentral